RNAcentral lists this unclassified non-coding RNA (331 nucleotides) under soil metagenome. RNAcentral describes it as "partial contains 5.8S ribosomal RNA, internal transcribed spacer 2, and large subunit ribosomal RNA". The stretch from base 1 to 120 matches the Rfam family "5.8S ribosomal RNA", at positions 35 to 154 of the family's 154-position model. The record is from RNAcentral.
GAUGAAGAACGCAGCAAAAUGUGAUAAGUAAUGUGAAUUGCAGAAUUCAGUGAAUCAUCGAAUCUUUGAACGCACAUUGCGCCCGCCAGUAUUCUGGCGGGCAUGCCUGUUCGAGCGUCAUUUCAACCCUCAAGCACAGCUUGGUGUUGGGACUCGCGUUAAUUCGCGUUCCUCAAAUUGAUUGGCGGUCACGUCGAGCUUCCAUAGCGUAGUAGUAAAACCCUCGUUACUGGUAAUCGUCGCGGCCACGCCGUUAAACCCCAACUUCUGAAUGUUGACCUCGGAUCAGGUAGGAAUACCCGCUGAACUUAAGCAUAUCAAUAGCGGAGGA